UUAUAAAAUAGUAUAGUAAAAAAAAUAUGUUUUCUGUUUAGACAUCCAGUUAUGACUGCUUGCUUGGCUGUCUUUUUUCUUUUAUCAACGACUGCUUGGCUAUCGAAGAGCAUCGUUAACGCCGGGAUGUUACACGGUACUUAACCAAAUUUUUAGCUUUUAAAAAAAUAAAAUUAAUUAAAAAGCAGGAGAAAGUGUAAAGUCAAGUUCUUGUUUUACGGUUUUUAGAAAGAAGAAAUUAUAUUCUACGGCUGUCACCAAACUAGAGUUUUAACUGCUCAAAAAAAUUAAACAUACCACAAAAAAAUAUUAAAAAAAAAGCCAAACUCUCUCUGGCGCUUCCCCCAAUGACCAACGUGUGGAAGAUCCCGAUCACCGUUUCCGCCGCGAAUCCACCGUCGUUCUCCACUGGAGAGCAGCCUCCACCUGACCCUUUCCCCCCAGACCCACCCGACCCCCAAUCGCCCCUUUCUCCACAAGACUACCCUCCUCUUUCUUUCUCUAAAACUG
This 510-nucleotide long non-coding RNA is filed under the name Brassica rapa (field mustard). RNAcentral's name for it is "long non-coding RNA (BRAP_LNC007120)". Lineage: Eukaryota; Viridiplantae; Streptophyta; Magnoliopsida; Brassicales; Brassicaceae. The record is from RNAcentral.